This is a long non-coding RNA of Megachile rotundata (alfalfa leafcutting bee), 514 nucleotides long. RefSeq lists it as uncharacterized. NCBI's taxonomy places the organism in Eukaryota, Metazoa, Arthropoda, Insecta, Hymenoptera, Megachilidae. The record is from RefSeq and is a predicted model, not a curated record.
UUAUGUGCUACUCAGUCGAUUCGUAUAUGUUUGUUUGAAGAUACUUUAUAAGUAAAUUUCCAAAUCUCAAAAUUCUCAAAUCGCCAAAAUUCCAUAUUUUUAAACCUUCACUACCUGAAAUUUUCAAAACUGGUCAUGCCUUUUUUCGCUUUCUGUAUAUUUUGUUCACUAUGUAUAUGACUGAAGUUAUUCGAGCUGCGCGCACAACACAUUUACGAUUGCGCAAACCGAGUAUGAUCUAUCGUAAAAACUUACGUAUAUGACUUGUUCAAUGCUACAAUUUCAAAUUAAUUCGAAUAGUUUUUGAACACAAAUAAUUAAAACAAAAGAAUAUUUAUUUUUAAACUUGCAUUACAAUGGCAAAUGUUGUAAAAUUUGUAAAAAGUGUUUACCACGAUCCUUUUCAAUGGUCAGUAGUUAAAAGUAUUGGAUUAUUCGUAUUAGGCAUAAAGAUUGCUAUUGAUUGUAAAGGCUUAACUUUAAUGCCAACGUCCUCGUAAAAAUUUUGGAAAAG